UCACACUCUGUCUCUCUCUCUCAAAAAUAAAUAAACAUUAAAAAAAAAUUUUUUUUUAAACGUCACUGUGAAGACUUAACCAUCCCUCCCAGUUGCUUCCUCCUCUACCUGCCUGUCACCACCUUAACCCAGGGACCACACAGUAUCCCCAGUGGUGGGACAACCAGCAUUUCAUGCCUCCCAAUAGGAUGCAGUAGACUUCACAGUUCUACCUAUUCUGGCUCUUGCCAAAAAUGUUGAGCGUAAAUAUAAUCAGGUCUUUAGAGCUGGCUGCAGUUUACUGGAAUUUCAGGGGUAGAGGAACACAUUAAAUAAUACCCAGAAAAGCAACCAAACAAAUCCAGAAUGUGGGACAAUUUAUAAGACAACUGGGAUGAUCUCUUAAAAGUCAAUGUCUUGAAAACAAAGCAAAAGCAAUGGGAGAGGAGGUUCUAGAUUUAAAGAGAUCUAAGAGUCCAACAACUAAAUAUGAGAUGUGAUUCUUUUUAAAGUUUUUAUUUUAACGUUUAUUUAUUUUUGAGAGAGAGAGAGCGAGUGCAAGCAGGAGAGGGGCAGAGAGGGAGACACAGAAUCCAAAGCAGGCUCCAGGCUCUGAGUUGUCAGCACAGAGCCUGACAAGGGGCUCAAACCCACAAACUGAGAUCAUGACCUGAGCCAAAGUCUGACGCUUAACUGACUGAUCCACCUAGGCCCCCCCAUGUGAUUCUUGAUUGUAUCUUGGUUCACUUUUCUUUUAAAGCUAUAAAGACCAUGUUUUUACACAAUGGGGGGAAUUUGACUAUGAAUUGGGUAUUAGAUGAUGUAAGGAAAUUAUUGUUAAUUUUGUGAGUUAAGUCUACUGUGGUUAUGGAAGGAGAAUUCUUACAGCUUUUGGAAAUGCAUGCUAAGUGUUUAGGGCUCAAGUGUUAGAAUAUCUGUAAUUCACUUUAAAAUGGUUUAGCCACAAAUUUAACAUAUAGUGAGAUGAGGUAAAUAUGGUGAAAUGUUUACAAUUGUUGAAUCUACAUGAUCAAUAUGUAUUCAGUUUACAAUUCUUUCUACUUUUCUGUAUGUUUCAACAUUUCCUUAAAAAGGGUUUUUUAAUACUGAAAUAUAAUUGACAUGUAACAGUAUAUUCUUUCAGGUGUACAACCCAUGAUUCGGUCCAUAUAUAUAUUGCAGAAUGAUCACCACAAUAAGUCUAAUUACCAUCCAUCGCCAUGCAUAGUUACAAUUUUUUUCUUAUGAUGAGAACUUUUAAGAUAUACUCUCUUAGCAACUUCCUAAUAUACAAUAUUAUAACUAUAGUCACCAUGCUGUAUGGUAUAGCCCCAGGACUUAUUUAUUUUAUAAAUAUAUAUUAUGUAUAUAAAUACACAUACACACACACACACAUACAGGUAUCUACCUAUUUAUAAAUACAUAAAGGUUUUUAAAAAGCUCCUUCCCCUGGAGGAACCUCCUAUAGCAGGUUUCUGGGCCUUCAUUAAAACACGAAUCACAGUAUUUGGAGGUGAUGUUUGCCAGUGGGUCUUUCCAUUCAGAUUACAGACUAUGAGCUCCCCGGGGUAGGAUCCAGAUGAACUGUAUUUCUCUCAUGGUGCCACAUUCAUAAUAAACAGGCAAUAAACAGGUGUUGAAUGAAUGAAGACUGUACUAUUGCCAGAGUGCAUGAUUCCUCAGUAAACUUACUCUUAGGAAUCUCCCAGAAUGAAAAAUGAUAACACAAACUUUUAUUGAGAAAUAGACCAAGCUUGGUCCUAAGUUCCUAAUUUUGUUCAUCAUGGAUUUUUUGCAUUCGUUUUGGUUUUUAAAAUACUGUGUUCAAGUAUUAUUUACCUAGGUUACUAACUUUGGGGGGCCUCCCCUAUUUUAGUGCCUGAAGCAAGUGAGGCACCCUGAUAUGAUCCCUAUAAAACAGGGUUUGGGGCACAUAUCUGAGUAAUGCCCCAUUGCCCUAUGGGGAUCCUUCCAGAUCCUAUCACUUUAUUUGUCUGACAGAAUUGACGUUUGUUUGGUCUCACUGUACUAUUGCUCUUGUCAUCUGACCUAAAGAGAGGGUUUGCAAUCUGCAGUGCAUAUUUAUUUUGCUGCCCCAGCAACAUUCUCCCUGCUCUGGCAACAACAACUCUAUGUUGCUUGGGGACCCUCCCCUCCCCAUCCACCGAACUGACUCCAGCCUAUGCCUAGAGGUGGGCAUGUGACUCAGCUCUGCCAUCAGAGCCUUGCAACCACUGGCCAUAGUCGUGGCUUCAGAGUAGUCAUAUGACUCAAUCACAGCCAAUGAGAUUCAAUUCUGGGGGUUUGAUCUCAACUUUGGAGAAGGGAUACUUUCUUUUUUCUGGUACCUGAGAUGGGAUGUAAGCCACGUGGGGUGUUGAGCCUCUCUGAGACUGGAGCUCGUACAGAAGACAGCAGUAUGGAGUGAUGGAGUCAGGGAGGAGACAUCCGGAUAGUAUUGGAGCUCCUGGAUUCAGCUGUACAUGAAGUAUUUUUUGAUUGACCAUUCAGUGCUAGGCACUGUGUUGGGUGCUGAGUGCUGGGCAGAGUGGGGAAGCAGACAUAGCCCCUGCCCACGAAGAGAUCGCUGUGCAUAGCAAAUACACCAUCUGACCGGCUGUGUCUCCAGCCUGCAGCCUGUGAGCAGCUACAAGUCGACAGCUUUGAUACCGGCUUGAAAGAACAACUUCGCUCCUGCUUCUACAGGAGAACCAAAUACAUUUAACUGGUUUCAUUCA
Molecule: long non-coding RNA, 2717 nt
Organism: Neofelis nebulosa (Clouded leopard)
Lineage: Eukaryota; Metazoa; Chordata; Mammalia; Carnivora; Felidae
Exons: 2
Source: RefSeq, a predicted model, not a curated record